CGCAUCUGUGCAUGCAGCAUAUCAAUAAGCGGAGGAAAAGAAACUAACAAGGAUUCCCUUAGUAACGGCGAGUGAAGCGGGAAGAGCUCAAAUUUGAAAUCUUCAAGGUUUUACCUUGACGAAUUGUAGUUUAAAGAAGUGUUUUCUGUUGAAGUUUAGGUAAAAGUUCUUUGGAAUAGGACAUCAUAGAGGGUGAGAAUCCCGUAUUUGACCAUUAUUUUCAGCUGUGUGAUACACUUUCAAAGAGUCGGAUUGUUUGGGAAUGCAGUCCAAAAUGGGUGGUAAAUUUCAUCUAAAGCUAAAUAUUGGCGAGAGACCGAUAGCGAACAAGUACCGUGAGGGAAAGAUGAAAAGAACUUUGAAAAGAGAGUUAAACAGUACGUGAAAUUGUCAAAAGGGAAGCGUUUGACACCAGUGUUGUUUUCUCGAAAAUCAAUUAAAAAGAGUUUAGAUUUUGUUGUGUAUUGACCUUAACAGCUUGCAUUUCAAUUUUCUUGCUUUUUUUAAUGCACUUUUCGUUUAACAAGUCAACAUCAGUUUCUUUUGUUGUAAAAAGGUCAUUGGAAGGUGGCUUUCUUUUCGGAGAAAGUGUUUAUAGCCUAUGACUCCUGCAAUCGGAGAGACUGAGGUCUGCAGCGUAGAUCCGUCGGGGUUAGAUACAUUUGUGCUAAGUUAUAGCUUUUUAUAGACAACUUGUUGACUAUGAUUAGUCUUGUAGCUUACUCGCUUAUGCUAUUUUACCUACGCUUAGGAUGUUGACACACGCGCGUGCUCG
RNAcentral lists this ribosomal RNA (775 nucleotides) under uncultured Neocallimastigales. Its description in RNAcentral is "partial large subunit ribosomal RNA". It matches the Rfam family "Eukaryotic large subunit ribosomal RNA", at positions 26 to 621 of the family's 3401-position model. Lineage: Eukaryota; Fungi; Neocallimastigomycota; Neocallimastigomycetes; Neocallimastigales. The record is from RNAcentral.